RNAcentral lists this ribosomal RNA (568 nucleotides) under uncultured archaeon. RNAcentral's name for it is "bacterial SSU rRNA". It matches the Rfam family "Archaeal small subunit ribosomal RNA", at positions 326 to 900 of the family's 1478-position model. The record is from RNAcentral.
CGGGGUGCAGCAGGCGCGAAAACUCUACAAUGCAGGCAACUGCGAUAGGGGAACAUCGAGUGAUCCUCAUAUUGGGGGUCUGUCCCACCGUCUAAAAAACGGUGGUUAGCAAGGGCCGGGCAAGACCGGUGCCAGCCGCCGCGGUAAUACCGGCGGCUCGAGUGGUGGCCGAUAUUAUUGAGUCUAAAGGGUCCGUAGCCGGCUUUGCAAGUCUCUCGGGAAAUCCAGCGGCUUAACCGUUGGUCGUCCGGGGGGUACUACAUUGCUUGGGACUGGGAGAGGUAGGAGGUACUCAGGGGGUAGGAGUGAAAUCCUGUAAUCCUCUGGGGACCACCGGUGGCGAAGGCGUCCUACCAGAACAGGUCCGACGGUGAGGGACGAAAGCUAGGGGCACGAACCGGAUUAGAUACCCGGGUAGUCCUAGCCGUAAACGAUGCUCGCUAGGUGUCACAACAGUCGUGAACUGUUGUGGUGCCGUAGGGAAGCCGUGAAGCGAGCCACUUGGGAAGUACGACCGCAAGGUUGAAACUUAAAGGAAUUGGCGGGGGAGCACAAGGGCGAAUCGCGG